RNAcentral lists this ribosomal RNA (465 nucleotides) under uncultured bacterium. Its description in RNAcentral is "partial 16S ribosomal RNA". It matches the Rfam family "Bacterial small subunit ribosomal RNA", at positions 28 to 507 of the family's 1533-position model. The record is from RNAcentral.
GACGAACGCUGGCGGCGUGCUUAACACAUGCAAGUCGAACGGAAAGGCCCCUUUGGGGGUACUCGAGUGGCGAACGGGUGAGUAACACGUGAGUAACCUGCCCUUGACUUCGGGAUAACUUCAGGAAACUGGGGCUAAUACCGGAUAGGAAUCCUUGCUGCAUGGUGGGGGUUGGAAAGCUUCGGCGGUUUUGGAUGGACUCGCGGCUUAUCAGCUUGUUGGUGGGGUAGUGGCUUACCAAGGCUUUGACGGGUAGCCGGCCUGAGGGGGCGACCGGCCACAUUGGGACUGAGAUACGGCCCAGACUCCUACGGGAGGCAGCAGUGGGGAAUAUUGCACAAUGGGCGGGAGCCUGAUGCAGCAACGCCGCGUGCGGGAUGACGGCCUUCGGGUUGUAAACCGCUUUCAGCAGGGGCGAAGCUUGUGGUGACGGUACCUGCAGAAGAAGCACCGGCUAACUACGUG